Erinaceus europaeus (western European hedgehog) is the source of this 977-nucleotide long non-coding RNA. RefSeq lists it as uncharacterized. The record is from RefSeq and is a predicted model, not a curated record. The transcript is spliced from 2 exons. NCBI's taxonomy places the organism in Eukaryota, Metazoa, Chordata, Mammalia, Eulipotyphla, Erinaceidae.
GGGGUGGAGCCUUGUCUAAUGAAGCACCUAUUUCAAUAUAAAACUCUGUGUAAAAAUUCUUCCUGGUCAUUGUCCAUCGCCUCUUCGGUUCAUCUUACUAUUUGCUGACUUUAUGAUCUGCCUUUUAUUGAUUGACACAAACAGAAACUUUGCUGUUUUGAAGAUGUGACUGAGACCUUAGGCCUACUACACCCAGCUAAGCGGCAGACAGGGAGUAUGGAGUAUACCAUCACCAGUUUCUCUGCACUGGUUUCUGUCGGGAAAGGGAAAGUCUGUAAUCCUUCCCAGCUCCUGAAAGAACACAGAGGUCACAGGGGUGGGGUGGGUGGGGAGGUGUGGUAGAGGUAGGUGGUGGUGAUGUGACUUUUCAAAUGAAGACCAAUUCCAAAAUAAACACAGCCUUAAAAAAAAAAAAAAAAAAAAAAAAAAACCUACAGUCUCACCCCAGGGACCUCUGUACUCGUUAUCCUCUGGGAUUUUCCAGGGAUAUCCCAGCACUGUUAGUCUGUCCCUGUGGCUGUCAGCAGGCAGAGCAGCUCAGCCUGUGGCCAGGCAGGAAGAGGCUGUGCUUGGUUUGUGCAGCCCGUGAUGUCACAGAGACUGUCUCUCCCUCAGCGUUGUGCAUACCACCUACCACCAUCUAAUAAACAGCCCGGCCUCCAGUCCUCUCUCACCUCCUACAAUACAAUAGACUUAACCACUGAAAGUGUUGUGAAUUCUGAAUUGUUCAGUGAUUGUGAAAAUAAAGCAUCAGGAUUCAAGCUGUUCUCCUGCUCCCCUAAGAAGGAUAACUUAUUAAAGGCAAUGUGAAGGGAAGACUGAAGAAACCUUUAUGAGACAGCUUUAUGCCUUUCAUAAAAUGUUUCUGUGUCUGGCACAAGAGAAGUGCUCAAGAUGAAGCUGACAGUUGACUACUUAUCUUGUCUACUGAAGUGGUAAUGGGGACUAACAUCAGUUAAUAAAACGUUCUGGUAAUA